AGCGAACGCUGGCGGCAGGCUUAACACAUGCAGGUCGAGCGGGCAUAGCAAUAUGUCAGCGGCAGACGGGUGAGUAACGCGUGGGAACGUACCUUUUGGUUCGGAACAACACAGGGAAACUUGUGCUAAUACCGGAUAAGCCCUUACGGGGAAAGAUUUACCGCCGAAAGAUCGGCCCGCGUCUGAUUAGCUAGUUGGUGAGGUAAUGGCUCACCAAGGCGACGAUCAGUAGCUGGUCUGAGAGGAUGAUCAGCCACAUUGGGACUGAGACACGGCCCAAACUCCUACGGGAGGCAGCAGUGGGGAAUAUUGGACAAUGGGCGCAAGCCUGAUCCAGCCAUGCCGCGUGAGUGAUGAAGGCCCUAGGGUUGUAAAGCUCUUUUGUGCGGGAAGAUAGUGACGGUACCGCAAGAAUAAGCCCCGGCUAACUUCGUGCCAGCAGCCGCAGUAA
This 451-nucleotide ribosomal RNA is filed under the name uncultured bacterium. RNAcentral describes it as "partial 16S ribosomal RNA". It matches the Rfam family "Bacterial small subunit ribosomal RNA", at positions 29 to 523 of the family's 1533-position model. The record is from RNAcentral.